Molecule: transfer RNA, 72 nt
Filed under: Actinophytocola sp.
Lineage: Bacteria; Bacillati; Actinomycetota; Actinomycetes; Pseudonocardiales; Pseudonocardiaceae
Description: tRNA-Val
Rfam family: tRNA
About the family: Transfer RNA (tRNA) molecules are approximately 80 nucleotides in length.
Source: RNAcentral
GGGCGUAUAGCUCAGCGGAAGAGCACUCGGUUUACACCCGAGCGGCCGUAGGUUCGAGUCCUACUACGCCCA